GCCCAAAUGGCGGAAUUGGUAGACGCGCAGGUUUCAGGUACCUGUGGGGUUACACCCGUGUAAGUUCGAGUCUUAUUUUGGGCACCA
This 87-nucleotide transfer RNA is filed under the name bacterium. Its description in RNAcentral is "tRNA-Leu". It matches the Rfam family "tRNA". From Rfam's summary of the family: Transfer RNA (tRNA) molecules are approximately 80 nucleotides in length. Their secondary structure includes four short double-helical elements and three loops (D, anti-codon, and T loops). RNAcentral also lists the same sequence under 3 other names. The record is from RNAcentral.